Molecule: ribosomal RNA, 465 nt
Filed under: Vreelandella stevensii
Lineage: Bacteria; Pseudomonadati; Pseudomonadota; Gammaproteobacteria; Oceanospirillales; Halomonadaceae
Description: partial 16S ribosomal RNA
Rfam family: Bacterial small subunit ribosomal RNA
Source: RNAcentral
CCUACGGGUGGCAGCAGUGGGGAAUAUUGGACAAUGGGCGAAAGCCUGAUCCAGCCAUGCCGCGUGUGUGAAGAAGGCCUUCGGGUUGUAAAGCACUUUCAGUGGGGAAGAAAGCCUUGGGGCUAAUACCCUCGAGGAAGGACAUCACCCACAGAAGAAGCACCGGCUAACUCCGUGCCAGCAGCCGCGGUAAUACGGAGGGUGCGAGCGUUAAUCGGAAUUACUGGGCGUAAAGCGCGCGUAGGCGGUCUGAUAAGCCGGUUGUGAAAGCCCCGGGCUCAACCUGGGAACGGCAUCCGGAACUGUCAGGCUAGAGUGCAGGAGAGGAAGGUAGAAUUUCCGGUGUAGCGGUGAAAUGCGUAGAGAUCGGGAGGAAUACCAGUGGCGAAGGCGGCCUUCUGGACUGACACUGACGCUGAGGUGCGAAAGCGUGGGUAGCAAACAGGAUUAGAUACCCGAGUAGUC